AAAGUGACAAAUCAGACGAGCUACCUACAGCAAGUGAAACAUCGGUGUCAUCGAAAACAAAAAGGAGUUUAAUAAAUCGGAGAAAUAUCUACAAAACCAUCGAAAGGAAAUUGAAUGCUGCUGGUUACAACGGCCAUGAUUGCUUGCUGCGCGCAAUAUGUGAAGCGUCCGAAAUUCCACUUGGUUUACAUAACGGCGUUCUUGGUGACAUAAUGCAUAUCAUAUUCACGCCGUCAUCAUCAGCUAAUGAGAAUA
Sitodiplosis mosellana (orange wheat blossom midge) is the source of this 255-nucleotide long non-coding RNA. RefSeq lists it as uncharacterized. The record is from RefSeq and is a predicted model, not a curated record. NCBI's taxonomy places the organism in Eukaryota, Metazoa, Arthropoda, Insecta, Diptera, Cecidomyiidae. The transcript has 3 exons.